Molecule: ribosomal RNA, 568 nt
Filed under: Acinetobacter baumannii
Lineage: Bacteria; Pseudomonadati; Pseudomonadota; Gammaproteobacteria; Moraxellales; Moraxellaceae
Description: bacterial SSU rRNA
Rfam family: Bacterial small subunit ribosomal RNA
Source: RNAcentral
GGACGUUACUCGCAGAAUAAGCACCGGCUAACUCUGUGCCAGCAGCCGCGGUAAUACAGAGGGUGCGAGCGUUAAUCGGAUUUACUGGGCGUAAAGCGUGCGUAGGCGGCUUAUUAAGUCGGAUGUGAAAUCCCCGAGCUUAACUUGGGAAUUGCAUUCGAUACUGGUGAGCUAGAGUAUGGGAGAGGAUGGUAGAAUUCCAGGUGUAGCGGUGAAAUGCGUAGAGAUCUGGAGGAAUACCGAUGGCGAAGGCAGCCAUCUGGCCUAAUACUGACGCUGAGGUACGAAAGCAUGGGGAGCAAACAGGAUUAGAUACCCUGGUAGUCCAUGCCGUAAACGAUGUCUACUAGCCGUUGGGGCCUUUGAGGCUUUAGUGGCGCAGCUAACGCGAUAAGUAGACCGCCUGGGGAGUACGGUCGCAAGACUAAAACUCAAAUGAAUUGACGGGGGCCCGCACAAGCGGUGGAGCAUGUGGUUUAAUUCGAUGCAACGCGAAGAACCUUACCUGGCCUUGACAUACUAGAAACUUUCCAGAGAUGGAUUGGUGCCUUCGGGAAUCUAGAUACAG